UCCAUACUUCCACUGGUAUACCGUCUGGUC
This 30-nucleotide small RNA is filed under the name Bombyx mori (domestic silkworm). Its description in RNAcentral is "ovarian small RNA-26912". Lineage: Eukaryota; Metazoa; Arthropoda; Insecta; Lepidoptera; Bombycidae. The record is from RNAcentral.